This is a long non-coding RNA of Populus euphratica (Euphrates poplar), 139 nucleotides long. RefSeq lists it as uncharacterized. Lineage: Eukaryota; Viridiplantae; Streptophyta; Magnoliopsida; Malpighiales; Salicaceae. The record is from RefSeq and is a predicted model, not a curated record. The transcript has 2 exons.
AGGAAAGAGUGAGGAUUGGAGCGAGAAGGAGUGGAAAAGGUAAAGGCUUUUUUGGGAUUUUGAGAGAGGAGAUGGAAUUGCAAUCGAUGAGAAAGCAUUGCGAGUAUGGAUUUAUAUAGGCGGGAAAACUCUGAGAGAA